Molecule: long non-coding RNA, 476 nt
Filed under: Equus caballus (horse)
Lineage: Eukaryota; Metazoa; Chordata; Mammalia; Perissodactyla; Equidae
Description: lncRNA (ENSECAG00000035587.2)
Source: RNAcentral
CCCCUGGGCUAACAGGCCAAGGGAAAAACCUCAAUGGCGCCCACCGGGGUCUGUGUCAGCAUGCCUGGACCAGCUCAGAACAAUGGCCCCCACCAAUGUCUUAGUCUCCAGAGAGGUCCCUCCUCUCACCAGAGCCCACCCAGGUCCUGCAGCAUGAUGCUACAGCUGCCGCCGUUGUGCAUGGAUGAGGAGCGAGAGAACCCCUUCCACAGUUCCUGGUCAGUGAAGACGUCUAGAAAGAACAAAUCAUCUCCUGAUGCCCUCCGUGGUGAUUCUCCCGUCUGUUAUUUAUGACACCCCUCCAGCACUGCUCGGCCCAACAUCUCAGUCGUCUUGUCCUACCAGGUACUUAUGUUUGUCCAGUUCAUCGUCAGAAGGAUUUCCAGCUGAUAUUUUGGCUGUGGCGGGAAGAGCCCUGGGACUGGGAAUUCUGGUUCUGGAAAGGAUUCCCUCAUGCUUAUGCAGUUCAGUCUCCU